UAGUUUUUAGUAUAAAAAAUUACGUUUUAUUUACAAUAAAAAAAUAUUAGAUUAAUAAAACUAU
This 64-nucleotide transfer RNA is filed under the name Eurytemora affinis. RNAcentral's name for it is "tRNA-Val". Lineage: Eukaryota; Metazoa; Arthropoda; Copepoda; Calanoida; Temoridae. The record is from RNAcentral.